This 386-nucleotide ribosomal RNA is filed under the name uncultured bacterium. RNAcentral describes it as "bacterial SSU rRNA". It matches the Rfam family "Bacterial small subunit ribosomal RNA", at positions 30 to 417 of the family's 1533-position model. The record is from RNAcentral.
AUUGAACGCUGGCGGCAUGCCUUACACAUGCAAGUCGAACGGCAGCACGGGAGCAAUCCUGGUGGCGAGUGGCGAACGGGUGAGUAAUAUAUCGGAACGUGCCCGGUCGUGGGGAUAACGUAGCGAAAGCUACGCUAAUACCGCAUACGAUCUACGGAUGAAAGCGGGGGAUCGCAAGACCUCGCGCGAUUGGAGCGGCCGAUAUCAGAUUAGGUAGUUGGUGAGGUAAAGGCUCACCAAGCCGACGAUCUGUAGCUGGUCUGAGAGGACGACCAGCCACACUGGGACUGAGACACGGCCCAGACUCCUACGGGAGGCAGCAGUGGGGAAUUUUGGACAAUGGGCGCAAGCCUGAUCCAGCAAUGCCGCGUGCAGGAUGAAGGCCU